Molecule: regulatory RNA element, 114 nt
Organism: Tetranychus urticae (two-spotted spider mite)
Lineage: Eukaryota; Metazoa; Arthropoda; Arachnida; Trombidiformes; Tetranychidae
Rfam family: Potassium channel RNA editing signal
About the family: This family represents a group of sequences related to the human potassium channel Kv1.1 hairpin element which directs the efficient modification of an adenosine to inosine by an adenosine deaminase acting on RNA (ADAR).
Source: Rfam
GUCGGCUAUGGUGAUAUGGUUCCACAUGAAUUUUGGGGUAAAAUGGUUGGCUCUCUUUGUGCUAUUGCUGGUGUACUUACCCUGUCUCUUCCCGUGCCUGUGAUAGUCUCAAAU